AAGAAGAACUUUUCAGAAAUAGACUUUUCAUCAAUGGCCAUAGCAAAGGCAGGAGCAACAAACAAUACAUUUGGUUCUUUAGUCACAGGUGCAAAUGUCAUGAAAGUCCCUGGCCUUAACACACUUGGUGUGUCCAUGGCUCGUAUCGACUAUGCCCCUGGUGGAAUUAACCCACCUCACACUCACCCUCGUGCCACUGAAAUGAUUUUUGUUUUAGAGGGUGAACUAGACGUUGGUUUUAUUACAACAUCAAAUGUUUUGAUUACAAAACAU
This 273-nucleotide unclassified non-coding RNA is filed under the name Hevea brasiliensis (rubber tree). Lineage: Eukaryota; Viridiplantae; Streptophyta; Magnoliopsida; Malpighiales; Euphorbiaceae. The record is from RNAcentral.